Amphiprion ocellaris (clown anemonefish) is the source of this 1616-nucleotide long non-coding RNA. Lineage: Eukaryota; Metazoa; Chordata; Actinopteri; Pomacentridae. The record is from Ensembl.
UGGAGGUCCAAGAGUCUGACCCAACAAACAACCUACAGAGUGAAGACCUCGAAUCUGAUUGGACGGCCUCCUAUUCAGCCACAUUUUAGGCUGUUGGGUUGUUCCAGAUAAGACAAGUACAAGAUACUUCAGAGCUGUUCUACCAUGAGCCUGACAGGAAGAACUCCAACAGCUACUGAAUGUUCCUGUGGUUCCCUCAAGGCUACAGGAGGAGUCCUACGAGGACGAGCCGGUCCACCUGAUGGAGGCCAGUCGCUGCGGUUCAAAGCCAACACCGACUACGUGGACUUCUACUGGACCACACGGAGGCCUUCAAACCGGACCAACAAGUUCAGCGACUCCCCGACUCGUGGGUCUGAGGACGCCGCCGAGCCUCGGUCCAGCCGGCCUCCUGUCUGUGGGUGUUUGAGUGCUGAGAGGUUUGUGGAUGCAUGUGAACGUUCUGUGUUGAAACAGCAGCUUUGGACUCAGUAACGCUGGGAAAAACCAAGAGCUCCUUUAUUUGUGACUUCCACUAAAAAACUGAUGAAAAUAAGUUUGCCAGGGUUCUGACUGAUAACAGAUGAUUAAAUAAUGAAAAUAACAGUUUAAAUAUUCCUUUAAACAAUCCUUUUAGGUCCACAUUUCCUUUACACUGACUUCUUGGUAUAUGUACAAGUAUUUUGGGUGGAAUAUACCAUUAAGCCCGAUGUUUAAGGGUUCUUCUGGGAAUAUACCAUUAAACCAGCCUUUUAGGUAAAUGUUCCAGGAUGUUGAGUAGAAUAUACCAUCAGAUAAAGGUCUACAUUGGAAGAUUUUAGAGUAGAAUAUUACUCCAAACCAUCCUUUAGGUCUACAUUUAAGGUGGAAUACUCCUUUAUACCAAGAUUUUCUGGUCUACAUUGAAGGAUUUUAGGUGGAAUAUUCCUUUGAACGAACUUUUUAAGUUUAUGUUCAAGGAUGUUGGGUGGAAUAUACCAUCAGACCAACCUCCAAGGUUCACAGUAGUGAAUUUUUGGUGGAAUAUACCAUUAAACUCACCUUUUAGGUCUACAUUGGAGGAUUUUAGGUGGAAUUUUCUUCCAAACCGUCUUUUAGUCUACAUGUAAGGAUGUUUAGGAUGGUAUAUUCUUCCAAACCAACUUCCCAGGUCAACAUUUCAGGUGGAAUAUUCCUCCAUACUGACUUUUUUGGUCUACAUUGAAGGAUUUUUUCUAAACCACCCUUUCGGGUCUGUAUUUGAGGUUUUAGGUGGAAUAUUCCUUUUAACCAGCCCCUCAGUCUCAGGUCAGGAUUUUGGAUGGAAUACUUUGUUAAAGCAACAUUUUAGGUGCAUGUCCGAGGAUUUUUGGUGGAAUGUUCCUUUAAGGUGGAUGUUUGAGGACCUUGUAGGUGGAAUACUUCCUGAAACCAACCUUUUAGGUCAACAUUCAAAGAUUUAAGGUGGAAUAUUCCUUUAAACCAACCUAAAUUUCAUGUUUCGAUCAUUAUCAAGGGAGAAAACUCAAUCCAGACUCCUCAUAAUGACGUUUGACAUUUAUGCUGCUGUUAUUUGUUUAGUCCAGACUAAAUGACAGAAAUCCACAACUGUUAUUUUAUUUCAGGACUCGGUUAUUAAAUGUCAAAACAAUCCAUGU